GAUGAACGCUGGCGGCGUGCCUAAUACAUGCAAGUCGAGCGAACAGACGAGGAGCUUGCUCCUCUGACGUUAGCGGCGGACGGGUGAGUAACACGUGGAUAACCUACCUAUAAGACUGGGAUAACUUCGGGAAACCGGAGCUAAUACCGGAUAAUAUAUUGAACCGCAUGGUUCAAUAGUGAAAGACGGUUUUGCUGUCACUUAUAGAUGGAUCCGCGCCGCAUUAGCUAGUUGGUAAGGUAACGGCUUACCAAGGCAACGAUGCGUAGCCGACCUGAGAGGGUGAUCGGCCACACUGGAACUGAGACACGGUCCAGACUCCUACGGGAGGCAGCAGUAGGGAAUCGUCCGCAAUGGGCGAAAGCCUGACGGAGCAACGCCGCGUGAGUGAUGAAGGUCUUCGGAUCGUAAAACUGUGUUAUUAGGGAAGAACAAAUGUGUAAGUAACUAUGCACGGCGUGACGGUACCUAAUCAGAAAGCCACGGCUAACUACGUG
RNAcentral lists this ribosomal RNA (497 nucleotides) under uncultured bacterium. Its description in RNAcentral is "partial 16S ribosomal RNA". It matches the Rfam family "Bacterial small subunit ribosomal RNA", at positions 28 to 507 of the family's 1533-position model. The record is from RNAcentral.